This 845-nucleotide unclassified non-coding RNA is filed under the name Hevea brasiliensis (rubber tree). Lineage: Eukaryota; Viridiplantae; Streptophyta; Magnoliopsida; Malpighiales; Euphorbiaceae. The record is from RNAcentral.
CGGAUGUGGAUUGCUGAAGGCUUUUUGUCUCAAGCAUUGAUACGGGGAGGAGAUGAAGCAAUGGAAGAUAUGGGUGAACAAUAUUUGGAAGAGCUUGUGAAUAGGUGCAUGGUUCAAGUGAGCCAUAGGGAUUACACUGGAAUGGGUAUCAAAACAUGUCACAUGCAUGAUCUGAUGAGAGACAUGUGUGUAUUGAUGGCAGGAAAGGAGAAUUUUCUUGGGAUUUCUGAGCGCUACCAAGAGACUAUUGUCGCACGCAGAAUUGCUCUUCAUCCCAAAAUAUGCCCAGAUUCUGAUCAAUCACAUUCCAUAACCUUGCUUCCAAGCAAUUCACGCCAUCGUUCUUUUUUCUACUUCCUCAAAGAGCAAAGGUAUGACAUGAAGUUUGACCAUAGAAGUCUUAACUUUGAUGAAUGCAGACUGCUCAGAGUAUUGAAUCUUUGGGGUCUAAAUGUUGAGUAUAUACCCAAUGAAAUUGGUGACCUGAUUCAUUUGAGGCAUCUUGGGUUAAGAUAUACGAAGGUAUCCAUGCAGGCAGCAUUGCCAACCUCCAUAGGUAACUUGAGGAGUUUAUACACCCUUGAUGUACGAAAUAAUCAGUCACUAAGAUUGCCUGAUGUAGUGUGGAAGUUAAAAUAUUUGAGACAUUUGUUGGUGGACUUGCUUAAGAUUCAGGAGUAUUGUCGAAUGGAUACCUUAAGAAACCUAGAGACUUUGAAGUGGGCUUAUCCUGCUAGUCUAAUAAGGGCAAAUGCAAUGUACAAAUUGACUAAUCUUCGAAAUUUAGCAAUAGGUUUCAACAGAUGGGAGGAAAUUGAUUCGGUUAUGAAAUCUCCAAUUUUUUC